UAUGUUGAUGAAGCCUCCGGAUAGCAGGCUUCAGAGAGAAUAGAUGUGCAUGUCUCUUAUAGGCCCUUAAAAGGUGUCGGAGUCUCCAGAAAAAGCCUAAUAAGGGAAGCAGAUUCUCUGCAGAAUGCACAUUUCCCCCAUGAGAGACAGAUUUGCAAGGGCCAUUUCAACAUAUGUCAAGGAAGUAUAUUUUGGGGUAAAAUACUUUGAUUCCUUCGGGGCUACUAUGUGUCAUGUGAUGCUAUACCGGAGUCCCGUUGAAUUGGGUAUCUUAUUGCUACAGAGAGUCUGUUUUGUCAGUCUAGGAUAUCUGUUUUUAUUUUAAUGUUGGUCAGUUGUGUCUAAAUUCCAGAGCGGGGCAGGUAUAAUGGGGCAUCCCCAGCCCUCCUUCCCAUUCAUGGCCUGAACUGGUUUUUCAGGUUUCUUUGGGUCCCGGUGGCUGCAAGGGGAUGCACUCAGUUGGCUGGGGGACUUAGAAUUUUAGUUUUGGUUUACAGCAGGAUUUGAUGGGCAUGCAUAUUUAUCAAUGUGAAAGUGUUGUCUGUGGGCGGCGGAGGGCUUGGGCCGUGUCCAGGCCACGCGCUGCAAGGGUGCAGCCCCCACACACGGUCCCUGCUCCUAAAGCUGUUGCCCCCACUGCAAGAGUGGAGUAGGUUGAGGUGUAGCCAUGACAUUCUAGAAACUACAUUUUUUGUAAUAGUCAUUUUGAAAAUAAGACAUUUGAAAAUACUGUGCAGCAAAAACUUGAAUAAUUGGAAUAAAAAUGUUCAGUUUAAUGUCAUUGCUUGCUGCCACCGUUUUCUGAUUGUAAAACUAAUGUGAUUAUUAGGUACUAUUUUGGUAAUGUAGAAAACUUUAAAGAUGAAAAUAGAUAUCACUUAUAACUCCACAUGGAGAAAUAGUUGCCCCUCCAAUUUAAUUGAUUUACUUUUGGGCCACAGGGGCCCAGAAUUUGAUUCAUUGUACUCCUUGGUUCAUGCCAGUGUUCCUGCACCCAGCACUGAAGCUGAACAUUGACAGUGACUUGCCCCUGCCCCAGAGUCCUCCCUGCAUUCCCCUCGAGGGCCCCCGUCUCCUGGCCCUGGUGUCCGCUUUCCUCUCAGCUGCCAGGAACGUGUUAGUGUGCCCUGUUCUCCUUUCCCUCACCUGCUGGCUUCAUGUUAGCAUGCACCAUUCUGCUCACUUUCUUCCUCUCACCUGCCAGGAUCAUGUAAGCAUGCACCGUUCUGCACACUUUCUUCCUCUCACCUGCCGGGAUCACGUUAGCAUGCACCGUUCUGCACACUUCCUUCCCCUCAUCUGCCAGGGUCAUCUUAGCAUGCACCAUUCUGCACACUUUCUUCCUCUCGCCUGCUGGGAUCAUGUUAGCGUGCACGGUUCUGCAUACUUGCUUCCCCUCACCUGCCAGGAACAGGUUAGUGUUCCCCAUUCUGCACACUUUCUUCCUCUCACCUGCCGGGAUCAUGUUAGCGUACACCAUUCUGCACACUUUCUUCCUCUGUGUACGUGUGUGUGGUUUUCCUUUCAGAAAUGGGUCAUACUCUGUGGACAUCUUUUUCCACUUAAAGUGAUGGCACCGCCAUUUUCCCAGUCAAGUAACAUGAAUGUACAAGAUUAGCAAACUUCCUCCUGAGAGAUGGAGAGUUCAAGCCUUCUGCUCCGUGGCAGCCAUCCGUGCACAUGCAUCACUGUGCGUGAGCUGGUCCCAGUGGCUUGCUGAGACACGCUCUGCACAGGGGAGAUUUCUGAUACCACCAGGGUGGGAGGCAGUGGGGCAGGUAGAGCCACAAGUGGGGAUGAGGGAGCAGAGUCUAGGGCAGGCUCCUGGAUGGACACCAGCUACACUAUCUAUUGGAUGUGGGACUUCCCUCACUGAUGAAAUGAAUAAGAGAAUCUUCCUCAUCCUGCUGUUGUUGGCGUUAAAACGGGUUAAUGCAUGAAAGCAACAAAGCCCGGCCUGCAGACAGCACUUGGUAAGUCUCCUCUUCCCAGCAUGUUCAACAGGAAGCCCUCAUUCCCUCUAGAAUGUAGGAGUCUUGCCAGCGGUGGCCUGUUUGUUCUCUGCCUGUUGCCGACCUGAUGAGAACAUAAAAUUGGUGUCUUCUGUAUAGAUUUCCUUCUUAUUGCCCCUCCUGUGGCUGAACAUAUCUUCCCCUGUGCUUGAAGUCUGUUCAUAUAUGUUCUGCUGUGAUAACUGCCCAUUCUUGUUCUCUAUCUAAGAAGGCAUUUAGUUUUGAAAAUAUUUUGUUGGCUUGUAAGAUAUUUGUACAUAUUAAGCACAGCAAACCUGUAACAUACUCACUAUAAAUCAUUAUUCCUCAUGCAUCAUUUGCCAUUUAACUGUAUUUUUUUCCUUGUUGAUGUAACCUGCUAUAGUUUACAUUUUUAAAUCAGAAAUACAUGCACAUUUUAAAACGAAGACUCUUAUGCUCUAGCCUUUGAGGUCAUGCUUGGAAAGUCCUUUCUCACACCAAGAUUAUUUACACUUUCAUCUCUUUUUCUCUGAGUACGUUUCAGUGUUUAAUUGACCAGGAAUGUAUUUCGAGGUGUGAUGUGAGACAAGGAUCUGAAAUGCUUCGCCCACUGAAUCAUCAUGCACUGACCGAAAUGCCACCUGUAUGAGUGCUAAAAUAAUUGUCGCGGGACCUGUGUCUGCACUGUUUAAUUUUACUGUUGUUUCUCACAUCAGCUUCUGUUGUUUUCAUGGUUGUGGUUCUCAUACUUUUAAUAUCUGUUGGAGCAAAUCAAAAAUGUCUUAUGUAUGUGAACUUUGGUGUUAUUUGUCAAGUCUGGGCAUUCUCCCACCCCCAUAUUAAAGAAUGUUCUCUGGAGUUUGUCUGGAGGUUUUGUUUAACUUUUAGAUUCACAUCAGGAGAAUCUAUGUCUUCAUGGUAAGUGGCCUUCCCAUCUAAGACUAUUUCUUCAAGCUGUUUGUAAUAAAAAGCUGUGUGGUUUUUGUAUGUUUA
RNAcentral lists this long non-coding RNA (2966 nucleotides) under Pan troglodytes (chimpanzee). Its description in RNAcentral is "lincRNA". Lineage: Eukaryota; Metazoa; Chordata; Mammalia; Primates; Hominidae. The record is from RNAcentral.